GUUGAAUAUGCGCUGAAUUUUCCAGAUGGAAAAACGGGGGAACCAACUUGACCGCUUAGACGGCCAACGGGGUGAAUCGGUACCGAACCUUCGGACCGUAGGGCUUCCACAGCCCGAAUCCGCCAGCUAACCUCGUAAGCAACAGUGGGAUAAUGA
RNAcentral lists this small RNA (156 nucleotides) under Paenibacillus sabinae. RNAcentral's name for it is "c-di-AMP sequence". It matches the Rfam family "c-di-AMP riboswitch aptamer (ydaO/yuaA leader)". From Rfam's summary of the family: This family represents a conserved RNA structure found upstream of the ydaO and yuaA genes in Bacillus subtilis and related genes in other bacteria. The ydaO/yuaA element is thought to act as a genetic "off" switch for the ydaO and yuaA genes in its native state. The record is from RNAcentral. Lineage: Bacteria; Bacillati; Bacillota; Bacilli; Caryophanales; Paenibacillaceae.